This 1052-nucleotide ribosomal RNA is filed under the name uncultured bacterium. RNAcentral's name for it is "bacterial SSU rRNA". It matches the Rfam family "Bacterial small subunit ribosomal RNA", at positions 64 to 1104 of the family's 1533-position model. The record is from RNAcentral.
CAGCAUGUUGUUUUCUUCGGAAAACAAUGAUGGCGAGUGGCGGACGGGUGAGUAACGCGUAGGAAUCUACCUUAAAGUGGGGGACAACCUGAGGAAACUUGGGCUAAUACCGCAUAAUAUCUAAGGAUCAAAGCUGGGGACCUUUUAGGCCUGGUGCUUUAAGAUGAGCCUGCGUCAGAUUAGCUUGUUGGUGGGGUAAAGGCCUACCAAGGCAAUGAUCUGUAGCUGGUCUGAGAGGAUGAUCAGCCACACUGGAACUGAGACACGGUCCAGACUCCUACGGGAGGCAGCAGUGGGGAAUAUUGGACAAUGGGCGAAAGCCCGAUCCAGCAAUGCCGCGUGUGCGAUGAAGGCUCUAGGGUCGUAAAGCACUUUUAGUAGGGAAGAAAUCAUUGAGGUUAAUACCCUUGAUGACUGACGUUACCUACAGAAAAAGCACCGGCUAACUCUGUGCCAGCAGCCGCGGUAAUACAGAGGGUGCUAGCGUUAAUCGGAAUUACUGGGCGUAAAGCGCUCGUAGGCGGGCAAUCCAGUCAGGUGUGAAAUCCCUGGGCUUAACCCAGGAACUGCAUCUGAAACUAAUUGCCUUGAGUAUGGUAGAGGAAAGUGGAAUUUCCGGUGUAGCGGUGAAAUGCAUAGAUAUCGGAAGGAACAUCAGUGGCGAAGGCGACUUUCUGGGCCAUAACUGACGCUGAGGGGCGAAAGCGUGGGUAGCAAACAGGAUUAGAUACCCUGGUAGUCCACGCCGUAAACGAUGAGAACUAAGUGUUAGACGCAUUUAUGCGUUUAGUGCUACAGCUAACGCGUUAAGUUCUCCGCCUGGGGAGUACGGCCGCAAGGCUAAAACUCAAAGGAAUUGACGGGGGCCCGCACAAGCGGUGGGGCAUGGGGUUUAAUUCGAUGAUACGCGAAAAACCUUACCUAUCCUUGACAUACUUGGAAUUGCCUAGCAAUAGGUGAGUGCCUUCGGGAGCCAAGAUACAGGUGCUGCAUGGCUGUCGUCAGCUCGUGUCGUGAGAUGUUGGGGUUAAGUCCCGUAACGAGCGCAACCC